UGUUCCUGUAUGAUCACUGAAGUUAAGCAAUGUCAAGCCUGGUCAGUACUUAGAUGGGUGACCACUUGUGAAUAACAGGUGCUGUAAG
Acanthosepion pharaonis is the source of this 88-nucleotide non-coding RNA. NCBI's taxonomy places the organism in Eukaryota, Metazoa, Mollusca, Cephalopoda, Sepiida, Sepiidae. The record is from the annotation of a GenBank genome assembly.